Magnolia sinica is the source of this 188-nucleotide small nuclear RNA. RefSeq annotates it as U2 spliceosomal RNA. The record is from RefSeq and is a predicted model, not a curated record. The transcript has a single exon. Lineage: Eukaryota; Viridiplantae; Streptophyta; Magnoliopsida; Magnoliales; Magnoliaceae.
UAUGAUUCAACACAUUCUAAUGUUUGAAAAAGUGUUCAAAGAAAAUCUGUUGAUAUCAGUUUAAUAUCUGAUAUGUGGGCCAUUGGGCCACAUGAUAUUUCUUGUGUUGGAGGUCUCACCACAAUAGCUUGCUACUGGGGCUCUCAAUUGCCGUUCUUGCAUUGCACUACUGCUUGGGCAAAGAAAGU